UUGGAGGGCAAGUCUGGUGCCAGCAGCCGCGGUAAUUCCAGCUCCAAUAGCGUAUAUUAAAGUUGCUGCAGUUGAAAAGCUCGUAGUUGAAUUUCGGGACCGAUAUAUCGGUCGUGCCUCGGUACGUACUGGUAUUUUCGGUUUCUCCCUUCUGACGAACCUUGAUGUCAUUAAUUUGGUGUCUUGGGGAAUCAGGACUGUUACUUUGAAAAAAUUAGAGUGUUUAAAGCAGGCUCACGCUUGAAUACAUUAGCAUGGAAUAAUGAAAUAGGACGUUUGAUUCUAUUUUGUUGGUUUCUAGGAUCGACGUAAUGAUUAAUAGGGAUAGUUGGGGGCAUUAGUAUUCAAUUGUCAGAGGUGAAAUUCUUGGAUUUAUUGAAGACUAACUACUGCGAAAGCAUUUGCCAAGGAUGUUUUCAUUAAUCAAGAACGAAAGUUAGGGGAUCGAAGACGAUCAGAUACCGUCGUAGUCUUAACCAUAAACUAUGCCGACUAGGGAUCGGAUGAUGUUAAUUUUUUAAUGACUCAUUCGGCGCCUUACGGGAAAC
RNAcentral lists this ribosomal RNA (548 nucleotides) under uncultured Glomeromycotina. RNAcentral's name for it is "SSU rRNA". It matches the Rfam family "Eukaryotic small subunit ribosomal RNA", at positions 548 to 1098 of the family's 1831-position model. The record is from RNAcentral. Lineage: Eukaryota; Fungi; Glomeromycota.